Molecule: ribosomal RNA, 428 nt
Filed under: Bacteroidota bacterium
Lineage: Bacteria; Pseudomonadati; Bacteroidota
Description: Bacteroidetes bacterium partial 16S ribosomal RNA
Rfam family: Bacterial small subunit ribosomal RNA
Source: RNAcentral
UAGGGAAUCUUCCGCAAUGGACGCAAGUCUGACGGAGCAACGCCGCGUGAGUGAAGAAGGAUUUCGGUUCGUAAAACUCUGUUGUUAGAGAAGAACAGCGCAUAGAGUAACUGUUAUGCGUGUGACGGUAUCUAACCAAAAAGCCCCGGCUAACUACGUGCCAGCAGCCGCGGUAAUACGUAGGGGGCUAGCGUUGUCCGGAAUCACUGGGCGUAAAGGGUUCGCAGGCGGAAAUGCAAGUCAGGUGUAAAAGGCAGUAGCUUAACUACUGUAAGCAUUUGAAACUGCAUAUCUUGAGAAGAGUAGAGGUAAGUGGAAUUUUUAGUGUAGCGGUGAAAUGCGUAGAUAUUAAAAAGAAUACCGGUGGCGAAGGCGACUUACUGGGCUCAUUCUGACGCUGAGGAACGAAAGCGUGGGUAGCAAACAGG